This 82-nucleotide transfer RNA is filed under the name Rhipicephalus sanguineus (brown dog tick). RNAcentral's name for it is "transfer RNA serine (anticodon UGA)". It matches the Rfam family "tRNA". Rfam says of the family: Transfer RNA (tRNA) molecules are approximately 80 nucleotides in length. Lineage: Eukaryota; Metazoa; Arthropoda; Arachnida; Ixodida; Ixodidae. The record is from Rfam by way of RNAcentral.
GCAGUCGUGGCCGAGUGGUUAAGGCGAUGGUCUUGAAAAUCAUUGGUUUCUUCUCGCGUAGGUUCGAAUCCUGCCGACUGCG